AAUCAACGCUGGCGGCGUGCCUCAGACAUGCAAGUCGAACGAUUAAAGCUUCCUUCGGGAAGUGUAUAGAGUGGCGUACGGGUGAGUAACACGUAAGUAAUCUACCCUUGGGUGGGGAAGUAACUUAGGGAAACCUAAGCUAAUACCGCAUAAUGCAGCGGCUCCAUAUGGAGACAGUUGUUAAAGCAUUUAUGUGCCUAAGGAGGAGCUUGCGGCAGAUUAGCUAGUUGGUAAGGUAAUGGCUUACCAAGGCGACGAUCUGUAGCCGGUCUAAGAGGACGGUCGGUCACACUGACACUGAAUAACGGGUCAGACUCCUACGGGAGGCAGCAGUCGGGAA
RNAcentral lists this ribosomal RNA (340 nucleotides) under uncultured bacterium. RNAcentral's name for it is "bacterial SSU rRNA". It matches the Rfam family "Bacterial small subunit ribosomal RNA", at positions 32 to 361 of the family's 1533-position model. The record is from RNAcentral.